RNAcentral lists this ribosomal RNA (496 nucleotides) under uncultured bacterium. RNAcentral's name for it is "partial 16S ribosomal RNA". It matches the Rfam family "Bacterial small subunit ribosomal RNA", at positions 29 to 507 of the family's 1533-position model. The record is from RNAcentral.
AUGCACGCUGGCGGCGUGCCUAAUCCAUGCAAGUCGAGCGAACAGAUCAGGAGCUUGCUCCUUUGACGUUAGCGGCGGACGGGUGAGUAACACGUGGGUAACCUACCUAUAAGACUGGGAUAACUUCGGGAAACCGGAGCUAAUACCGGAUAAUAUUUCGAACCGCAUGGUUCGAUAGUGAAAGAUGGUUUUGCUAUCACUUAUAGAUGGACCCGCGCCGUAUUAGCUAGUUGGUAAGGUAACGGCUUACCAAGGCGACGAUACGUAGCCGACCUGAGAGGGUGAUCGGCCACACUGGAACUGAGACACGGUCCAGACUCCUACGGGAGGCAGCAGUAGGGAAUCUUCCGCAAUGGGCGAAAGCCUGACGGAGCAACGCCGCGUGAGUGAUGAAGGUCUUCGGAUCGUAAAACUCUGUUAUUAGGGAAGAACAUACGUGUAAGUAACUGUGCACGUCUUGACGGUACCUAAUCAGAAAGCCACGGCUAACUACGUG